This 460-nucleotide ribosomal RNA is filed under the name uncultured bacterium. RNAcentral describes it as "partial 16S ribosomal RNA". It matches the Rfam family "Bacterial small subunit ribosomal RNA", at positions 338 to 795 of the family's 1533-position model. The record is from RNAcentral.
CCUACGGGAGGCAGCAGUGAGGAAUAUUGGUCAAUGGACGAGAGUCUGAACCAGCCAAGUAGCGUGAAGGAUGACUGCCCUAUGGGUUGUAAACUUCUUUUAUAUGGGAAUAAAACGUUCCACGUGUGGGAUUUUGUAUGUACCAUAUGAAUAAGGAUCGGCUAACUCCGUGCCAGCAGCCGCGGUAAUACGGAGGGUCCGAGCGUUAUCCGGAUUUAUUGGGUUUAAAGGGAGCGUAGGUGGAUUGGUAAGUCAGUUGUGAAAGUUUGCGGCUCAACCGUAAAAUUGCAGUUGAAACUGGCAGUCUUGAGUACAGUAGAGGUGGGCGGAAUUCGUGGUGUAGCGGUGAAAUGCUUAGAUAUCACGAAGAACUCCGAUUGCGAAGGCAGUUCACUGGACUGCAACUGACACUGAGGCUCGAAAGUGUGGGUAUCAAACAGGAUUAGAUACCCCAGUAGUC